CCUACGGGGGGCAGCAGUCGAGAAUCAUUCACAAUGGGGGAAACCCUGAUGGUGCGACGCCGCGUGGGGGAAUGAAGGUCUUCGGAUUGUAAACCCCUGUCAUGUGGGAGCAAAUUAAAAAGAUAGUACCACAAGAGGAAGAGACGGCUAACUCUGUGCCAGCAGCCGCGGUAAUACAGAGGUCUCAAGCGUUGUUCGGAAUCACUGGGCGUAAAGCGUGCGGAGGCUGUUUCGUAAGUCGGGUGUGAAAGGCGGGGGCUCAACCCGCGGAUGGCACAUGAUACUGGGAGACUAGAGUAAUGGAGGGGGAGCCGGAAUUCGCGGUGUAGCAGUGAAAUGCGUAGAUAUCGAGAAGAACACUGGUGGCGAAGGCGGGUUCCUGGACAGUAACUGACGCUGAGGCACGAAGGCCAGGGGAGCGAAAGGGAUUAGAUACCCUGGUAGUC
Molecule: ribosomal RNA, 446 nt
Filed under: uncultured bacterium
Lineage: Bacteria
Description: partial 16S ribosomal RNA
Rfam family: Bacterial small subunit ribosomal RNA
Source: RNAcentral